UCUUUCCCGCUCUUUGUCGCCCUGUCGGAAGAACUCCUCCAUGAUUCUCUCCGUCCACUGUCGGUACAACGGCAGCGUCUUGGUGGGGUUGCUCAGGUCGGCGCAGUGAACCAUGUUUCUCAACACCUACACAGUGAUGUGGCCCCCCAGAUGGUGGCAGUAGAGACCCUCAGAGCUGAAAUAAUCACUUCUCUGUAGUGACAUCGAAGGAGCGCAGGAACAUCUGUGUCCACUGCACAGUGGUCCAGCAGCAGCACUCCGGAGCUCGUCACCUUCUUCGUCUCCACCAUGGUCUUCAGAUCGCCCAGCAGAGUCAUGUGUUUGGACAUGUCCGUGGCCAAGACCUGCACAGAGAGGACGGAAAGUUCUAGAGAAACCAGGCGUAGCUCAACAGACCGGUUCGUCGACGUCCCCCGUCUCCCACACUCACCAUGUCGAUGACGAGCUUGCGGAGACUCUGCCGCUGUCUUUUGGUGAGGUUCUGGAAAAUGUCACAGUUUUCCUGGUGGAGGAGUUUGAAGCCCACCGCCAGGUGAUGGUUCUCCAGAACCGACUCGUCGUUGUACAUGAGCGCCAGCUCCGAGUCUGAGGAGGA
Molecule: long non-coding RNA, 595 nt
Organism: Cynoglossus semilaevis (tongue sole)
Lineage: Eukaryota; Metazoa; Chordata; Actinopteri; Pleuronectiformes; Cynoglossidae
Exons: 3
Source: RefSeq, a predicted model, not a curated record